This 504-nucleotide ribosomal RNA is filed under the name uncultured bacterium. RNAcentral describes it as "partial 16S ribosomal RNA". It matches the Rfam family "Bacterial small subunit ribosomal RNA", at positions 899 to 1397 of the family's 1533-position model. The record is from RNAcentral.
ACUCAAAUGAAUAGACGGGGGCCCGCACAAGCGGCGGAGCAUGUUGCUUAAUUCGACGCAACGCGAAGAACCUUACCAAGGUUUGACAUCACCCGGAAAGCUUCAGAGAUGGAGCCCUCUUCGGACUGGGUGACAGGUGGUGCAUGGCUGUCGUCAGCUCGUGUCGUGAGAUGUUGGGUUAAGUCCCGCAACGAGCGCAACCCUUGUUCCAUGUUGCCAGCGGCGCCUUCGGGCGGCCGGGGACUCAUGGGAGACUGCCGGGGUCAACUCGGAGGAAGGUGGGGAUGACGUCAAGUCAUCAUGCCCCUUAUGUCUUGGGCUGCAAACAUGCUACAAUGGCCGGUACAGAGGGCUGCUAAGCCGUGAGGCGGAGCGAAUCCCUAAAAGCCGGUCUCAGUUCGGAUUGGGGUCUGCAACUCGACCCCAUGAAGUCGGAGUCGCUAGUAAUCGCAGAUCAGCAACGCUGCGGUGAAUACGUUCCCGGGCCUUGUACACACCGCCCGU